GGGGGGGGGGGGGGGGGGGCGGGGGGCGGGGGGGGGGGAGGGGGGGGCGCGGGGGGGGUGGGGGGCUGGAGGGGCGAACGGGGGGGUAACACGGGGGUAACCUGCCCUGGACUUUGGGAUAACUUCAGGAAACUGGGGCUAAUACCGGAUAGGGGCUCCUGCUGCAUGGUGGGGGUUGGAGAGUUUCGGCGGUUGGGGAUGGACUCGCGGCUUAUCAGCUUGGUGGUGGGGUAGUGGCUUACCAAGGCUUUGACGGGUAGCCGGCCUGAGAGGGUGACCGGCCACAUUGGGACUGAGAUACGGCCCAGACUCCUACGGGAGGCAGCAGUGGGGAAUAUUGCACAAUGGGCGGAAGCCUGAUGCAGCAACGCCGCGUGCGGGAUGACGGCCUUCGGGUUGUAAACCGCUUUCGCCUGUGACGAAGCGUGAGUGACGGUAAUGGGUAAAGAAGCACCGGCUAACUACGUG
This 468-nucleotide ribosomal RNA is filed under the name uncultured bacterium. Its description in RNAcentral is "partial 16S ribosomal RNA". The stretch from base 58 to 468 matches the Rfam family "Bacterial small subunit ribosomal RNA", at positions 39 to 507 of the family's 1533-position model. The record is from RNAcentral.